GGAGAUGUUGUCUUCCUGAAGAUUGGAGAUCAAAUUCCAGCAGAUGGGCUGUUCUUGGACGGUUAUUCACUGCAAGUGGAUGAAUCGAGCAUGACAGGAGAAAGUGACCAUAUGGAAGUAGAUGCCACCAGGAACCCGUUCCUUUUUUCUGGUUCGAAAGUGGCAGAUGGUUAUGGUCAAAUGCUUGUAGCAUCCGUGGGAAUGGAUACUACAUGGGGAGAAAUGAUGAGCUCGAUAACCAGUGAUAAAAACGAAAGAACUCCACUACAAGAACGACUUGACAGACUUACCUCUUCUAUCGGAAAGGUAGGUCUUGCGGUUGCCUUUCUAGUCCUUGUAGUCUUAUUAAUUCGUUAUUUCACUGGGAAUACAGAAGAUGACAAUGGGAACACGGAGUAUAUUGGUAGCAAGACCAGCGUAGAUGAUAUCUUAAAU
Molecule: long non-coding RNA, 435 nt
Filed under: Gossypium barbadense (sea-island cotton)
Lineage: Eukaryota; Viridiplantae; Streptophyta; Magnoliopsida; Malvales; Malvaceae
Description: long non-coding RNA (GBAR_LNC006937)
Source: RNAcentral